RNAcentral lists this ribosomal RNA (425 nucleotides) under uncultured bacterium. RNAcentral's name for it is "bacterial SSU rRNA". It matches the Rfam family "Bacterial small subunit ribosomal RNA", at positions 354 to 796 of the family's 1533-position model. The record is from RNAcentral.
GUGGGGAAUAUUGGACAAUGGGCGCAAGCCUGAUCCAGCAAUGCCGCGUGGGUGAAGAAGGUCUUCGGAUCGUAAAGCCCUUUCGACAGGGACGAUGAUGACGGUACCUGUAGAAGAAGCCCCGGCUAACUUCGUGCCAGCAGCCGCGGUAAUACGAAGGGGGCUAGCGUUACUCGGAAUUACUGGGCGUAAAGGGCGCGUAGGCGGCUCUGUUAGUCAGGCGUGAAAUUCCUGGGCUUAACCUGGGGACUGCGCUUGAUACUGCAGGGCUUGAGGCCGAGAGAGCGUGAUGGAAUUCCCAGUGUAGAGGUGAAAUUCGUAGAUAUUGGUAAGACCACCGGUGGCGAAGGCGACCACCUGGCUCGGUUCUGACGCUGAGGCGCGACAGCGUGGGGAGCAAACAGGAUUAGAAACCCCAGUAGUCC